RNAcentral lists this transfer RNA (71 nucleotides) under Camelus bactrianus (Bactrian camel). It matches the Rfam family "tRNA". From Rfam's summary of the family: Transfer RNA (tRNA) molecules are approximately 80 nucleotides in length. Their secondary structure includes four short double-helical elements and three loops (D, anti-codon, and T loops). Further hydrogen bonds mediate the characteristic L-shaped molecular structure. tRNAs have two regions of fundamental functional importance: the anti-codon, which is responsible for specific mRNA codon recognition, and the 3' end, to which the tRNAs corresponding amino acid is attached (by aminoacyl-tRNA synthetases). tRNAs cope with the degeneracy of the genetic code in two manners: having more than one tRNA (with a specific anti-codon) for a particular amino acid; and 'wobble' base-pairing, i.e. permitting non-standard base-pairing at the 3rd anti-codon position. The record is from Rfam by way of RNAcentral. RNAcentral also lists the same sequence under 2 other names. Lineage: Eukaryota; Metazoa; Chordata; Mammalia; Artiodactyla; Camelidae.
GAGGGUAUAGCUCAGCUGUAGAGUGCAUGCUUAGCAUGCACGAGGUCAAGGGUUCGAUCCCCAUAACCUCC